GACUGGAAAGCUCUGUUGGUUAGAGUGUGAUGCUGAUAAUGCCAUGGUUGCAGGUUCGAUCCCUGUUUGGGACA
Podarcis lilfordi (Lilford's wall lizard) is the source of this 74-nucleotide non-coding RNA. Lineage: Eukaryota; Metazoa; Chordata; Lepidosauria; Squamata; Lacertidae. The record is from the annotation of a GenBank genome assembly.